GCAAGUCGAGCGAGAAAUUUAUGAACGAAACUUCGGUCUAGUGAGUAAAUGGAAAGCGGCGGACGGGUGAGUAACGCGUAGGCAACCUGCUCCUUACAGAGGUAUAGCCUCGGGAAACUGGGAUUAAAACCGCAUAACGCAUUUUAAACACAUGUUUGAAAUGCCAAAGAUUUAUCGGUAAGGGAGGAGCCUGCGUCUGAUUAGCUAGUUGGUAAGGUAACGGCUUACCAAGGCGACGAUCAGUAGCCGACCUGAGAGGGUAAUC
RNAcentral lists this ribosomal RNA (265 nucleotides) under uncultured bacterium. RNAcentral describes it as "partial 16S ribosomal RNA". It matches the Rfam family "Bacterial small subunit ribosomal RNA", at positions 57 to 305 of the family's 1533-position model. The record is from RNAcentral.